Molecule: non-coding RNA, 322 nt
Organism: Pelobates cultripes (western spadefoot toad)
Lineage: Eukaryota; Metazoa; Chordata; Amphibia; Anura; Pelobatidae
Source: the annotation of a GenBank genome assembly
ACAUAAAUCAUUAAAGGGGUUAGAGUAAACUUUUAACGCAAAGCUGAUUUUACACACUGUGAAAAUGUUCUUGCUGCUGCUGUCUCUCUAACAGUGUGACAUGUCCCCUUGCUGCUACACUCGCUACAUCCAUCUCUUUCUCUGUCCCAGACUGCACACUGCUAGUAAGAAGGGAAGGAGAGGAGUAAACAAGUGAGUCCUGAGAAGAAAGAAUUAAGAGUUUGUGAUUGUUGAUAGAGAGGAGCUGAGAGCUGUGGGGCAUGCAGACUGGACAGAUUGACUGGGUUUAGAAAUAAAAGCGAGAGAUUAGCAUUAGGUAUAG